AGCAGCCGCGGUAAUUCCAGCUCCAAUAGCGUAUAUUAAAGUUGCUGCAGUUAAAAAGCUCGUAGUUGAAUUUCGGGACCAAUAUGUCGGUCGUGCCUCGGUACGUACUGGCAUCGUUGGUUUCUCCCUUCUGACGAACCAUGAUGUCAUUUAUUUGGUGUCGUGGGGAAUCAGGACUGUUACUUUGAAAAAAUUAGAGUGUUUAAAGCAGGCUCACGCUUGAAUACAUUAGCAUGGAAUAAUGAAAUAGGACGUUUGAUUCUAUUUUGUUGGUUUCUAGGAUCGACGUAAUGAUUAAUAGGGAUAGUUGGGGGGCAUUAGUAUUCAAUUGUCAGAGGUGAAAUUCUUGGAUUUAUUGAAGACUAACUACUGCGAAAGCAUUUGCCAAGGAUGUUUUCAUUAAUCAAGAACGAAAGUUAGGGGAUCGAAGACGAUCAGAUACCGUCGUAG
RNAcentral lists this ribosomal RNA (450 nucleotides) under uncultured Glomus. RNAcentral describes it as "SSU rRNA". It matches the Rfam family "Eukaryotic small subunit ribosomal RNA", at positions 569 to 1023 of the family's 1831-position model. The record is from RNAcentral. Lineage: Eukaryota; Fungi; Glomeromycota; Glomeromycetes; Glomerales; Glomeraceae.